This 233-nucleotide ribosomal RNA is filed under the name uncultured bacterium. Its description in RNAcentral is "partial 16S ribosomal RNA". It matches the Rfam family "Bacterial small subunit ribosomal RNA", at positions 99 to 334 of the family's 1533-position model. The record is from RNAcentral.
CGGGCGGGUGAGUAAUGUCUAGGGAAACUGCCGAUGGAGGGGGGAUAACUACUGGAAACGGUAGCUAAUACCGCAUAACGUCGCAAGACCAAAGAGGGGGACCUUCGGGCCUCUUGCCAUCGGAUGUGCCCAGAUGGGAUUAGCUAGUAGGUGGGGUAACGGCUCACCUAGGCGACGAUCCCUAGCUGGUCUGAGAGGAUGACCAGCCACACUGGAACUGAGACACGGUCCAG